AGAGUUUGAUCCUGGCUCAGAACGAACGUUAGCGGCGCGCCUAACACAUGCAAGUCGCACGAGAAAGGGCUUCGGCCCCGGUACAGUGGCGCACGGGUGAGUAACACGUAGAUCAUCUCCCCUCGAGUGGUGGAUAACUUUCCGAAAGGAAAGCUAAUACAGCAUGAGACCACGGCUUCGUUGAAGCUGCGGCCAAAGCAGGCCUCUACACGUAAGCUUGCGCUUGAGGAUGAGUCUGCGGCCCAUCAGCUAGUUGGUAGGGUAAUGGCCUACCAAGGCUAAGACGGGUAGCUGGUCUGAGAGGAUGAACAGCCACACUGGAACUGAGACACGGUCCAGACUCCUACGGGAGGCAGCAGUGGGGAAUCUUGCGCAAUGGGCGAAAGCCUGACGCAGCGACGCCGCGUGAGCGAUGAAGGCCUUCGGGUUGUAAAGCUCUGUGGGGAGGAAAGAAUAAGUGUUGGCUAAUAUCCAGCAUGAUGACGGUACCUCCUUAGCAAGCACCGGCUAACUCUGUGCCAGCAGCCGCGGUAAGACAGAGGGUGCAAACGUUGUUCGGAAUUACUGGGCGUAAAGCGCGUGUAGGCGGCCCUGCAAGUCGGAUGUGAAAUCCCACGGCUCAACCGUGGAAGUGCAUUCGAAACUGCAGGGCUAGAGUCCUGGAGAGGAAGGUGGAAUGCUUGGUGUAGAGGUGAAAUUCGUAGAUAUCAAGCGGAACACCGGUGGCGAAGGCGGCCUUCUGGACAGUGACUGACGCUGAGACGCGAAAGCGUGGGGAGCAAACAGGAUUAGAUACCCUGGUAGUCCACGCCGUAAACGAUGAGUGCUAGGUGUCACGGGCUUUGACCCUCGUGGUGCCGAAGCUAACGCGUUAAGCACUCCGCCUGGGGAGUACGGCCGCAAGGCUAAAACUCAAAGGAAUUGACGG
RNAcentral lists this ribosomal RNA (928 nucleotides) under uncultured bacterium. Its description in RNAcentral is "bacterial SSU rRNA". It matches the Rfam family "Bacterial small subunit ribosomal RNA", at positions 8 to 916 of the family's 1533-position model. The record is from RNAcentral.